GACGAAGGGUGCGAGCGUUAUUCGGAAUUAUUGGGCGUAAAGGGUGCGUAGGCGGUAUGUUUAGUCAGCCAUACAAUUCUCCGGCUUAACCGGAGGCAUGUGGCAGAUACUGGCAAACUAGAGUAUGGAAGAGAGAAGUGGAAUUCUCGGAGUAGCGGUGAAAUGCGUAGAUCUCGAGAGGAACACCGAUGGCGAAGGCAGCUUCUUGGUCCAUUACUGACGCUGAGGCACGAAAGCGUGGGGAGCAAACAGG
RNAcentral lists this unclassified non-coding RNA (253 nucleotides) under uncultured bacterium. RNAcentral describes it as "contains 16S-23S intergenic spacer region". It matches the Rfam family "Bacterial small subunit ribosomal RNA", at positions 524 to 776 of the family's 1533-position model. The record is from RNAcentral.